This 639-nucleotide long non-coding RNA is filed under the name Triticum aestivum (bread wheat). RNAcentral's name for it is "long non-coding RNA (TAES_LNC012234)". The record is from RNAcentral. Lineage: Eukaryota; Viridiplantae; Streptophyta; Magnoliopsida; Poales; Poaceae.
UCACAUAACUAUCCAUCAUAUCAACAAUAAAUCAUAUCCACUGAGCAUGGCAUAUUGACUAGCAUGACCAUUACCAACAUCAACAUGUACUACUAGCAAUCAUAAACAUAUGAAAGGUAAUACUAGCAGGUAGAACAUGAUCACAUAGUACAAACAACAUAGCACAAAAGUGAACUUGCAAAUCUAACAUCACCGGAACAACGAUAACCAUCUUUUUAACAAGCAAACAAUUAAUGAAGUUUCAAGUUGAAAACCAUGGCUACUGCAUGACUAGGGAUGAAGAAGGCACCGGGGAGAGGUGCGGUGAAGCCGCGGAAAGAUUUGUCGGAAACAGUCCUCUCCUGGAGGGGGCUGUUUACGUGCAAAGGCAAAAAGGUCAUUUUGACAUUGUCAAACCAUAGUGAAAAUGAAACCAACAGAACAGGCUCGACGAAACAAAGAAGUGGGCAUUGGAAUCACCUCAUUUGGAGUUACGGAUAAAAAGUUGUGGAGGGUUGAAGUUCAGGGACUUUUCUGUAAAAUUUUCAUCACAAACAAGUCCCUGAGUGGAUAAGGCAGAAACGCAAAGUUAGGAAUACCCUUUCGGUCAGCGAAAACGUACUUGCCCAAAAUGCGCUUCCACUUGCCACGUUAGCAGGG